UACAGAGGUCCCAAGCGUUGUUCGGAUUCACUGGGCGUAAAGGGCGCGCAGGUGGCCGGGUAAGUCUGAUGUGAAAUCCCGCAGCUUAACUGCGGAAUGGCAUUGGAUACUAUUCGGCUAGAGGGUUGGAGGGGGGACUGGAAUUCUCGGUGUAGCAGUGAAAUGCGUAGAUAUGCGGAGGAACACCGAUGGCGAAGGCAAUCCCCUGGGCCUGCACUGACGCUCAUGCACGAAAGCGUGGGGAGCAAACAGG
This 253-nucleotide ribosomal RNA is filed under the name uncultured bacterium. RNAcentral's name for it is "partial 16S ribosomal RNA". It matches the Rfam family "Bacterial small subunit ribosomal RNA", at positions 524 to 776 of the family's 1533-position model. The record is from RNAcentral.